AUGCUCACUUUGGCAGCACAUACACUGAAGUUGGAACGAUACAGAGAAGAUUAGCAUAGCUCCUGGGCAAAGAUGACAGGCAAACCGGUAAAGCGUUUCCCUACUUUU
Small nuclear RNA from Rattus norvegicus (Norway rat), 108 nucleotides. The record is from Ensembl. NCBI's taxonomy places the organism in Eukaryota, Metazoa, Chordata, Mammalia, Rodentia, Muridae.